RNAcentral lists this long non-coding RNA (641 nucleotides) under Cicer arietinum (chickpea). RNAcentral describes it as "long non-coding RNA (CARI_LNC001189)". The record is from RNAcentral. Lineage: Eukaryota; Viridiplantae; Streptophyta; Magnoliopsida; Fabales; Fabaceae.
AAUAUUUUAGCCCUCCCACAGUCACACUCACACAGAACAAACCCAAAAGUAUGAUAAAGAACUGGUUUUCCGACACAAUCAAUAUUUUCUGAUACUAUGGAGGCAUAAAAUAUGCGAUAAUAAGGGGCUCAGUUGAUCAAUAUCUAUACCAUACUUAAGUUAAUUAAUUAAUUGAAUGGAUGGAUGCAAUAAUUGAAGGGAAACAAAUUCCUUAAAGAUGACUUGAGAGUUGAAUCAGAUCUUGUCAAUGUAAGGAAUGAGGGAAUGAGGGAAAGAAGGUUGGCGGUGACUAUUGUUUUCUAAGACGAAGUUGAGUGUUCGCGAUAUCUGGGUUUGGGAGGGUUCAGGGUUAUGAGUUGGCAAUUUCUGGGUGUGCACGAUUUCCAGGGAAUGCGUGAUUUAUGGGUGUGCGCGAAUUCGAGGGUUCUGGGUUCACAGAUAGGGUUCACGAUUUGCAGAUGGAAUGGGUGAAGAAAUGAGUUCGCAUAUAUGGUUCACAAGCUAAUUAAGGUUCUAUUUUGAAGAUAAAGAAACGAGUUUGCAAAGGUUUCAUGCAGCAAGGAAUAUGAUUUGUUCAAUGAAAAAACAAGAAUUUUCAUGUUUUUGUUAUAACAAAGUAUAACUUAAGGGUUUAAAGCUUU